This 1031-nucleotide long non-coding RNA is filed under the name Citrus sinensis (sweet orange). Its description in RNAcentral is "long non-coding RNA (CSIN_LNC003356)". The record is from RNAcentral. Lineage: Eukaryota; Viridiplantae; Streptophyta; Magnoliopsida; Sapindales; Rutaceae.
CGAACGAUCUAAUAACCGAAACCAAACACGCCAGCUCAAUCAGGCCUCAAAUUGUCUGUAACCCUAGUUGACGCACAACCACUUCACCCCAAGACUAACCCUAGUUAGCUCCCACCCACUCUAUAAAGCCCACCUCUUUCUACCCUUCCUUCUCAUUCCGCAGCGGUGCUGUCUCUAAGAUUUUUCUUGUAAUUUUUUCUUAGUCCCCAUUUUAAGUUUUCUCCUAAUGGCUUCAGGCGAUGUCGAGUUUAGGUGCUUCGUAGGCGGCCUGGCCUGGGCCACCACUGACAGCUCUCUCCAUGAGGCCUUCGGUGCUUACGGCGAUAUCCUUGAAUCGAAGGUCCGUUUGAACCAGAUCCGACCCGAUCCACGAUUCGGCUUGUUCUGAUCUGUGAUCUGUGUGCUCUGUGAUCUGUUUCUGUUACUCUGUUACUGUUCUCUGUUACUACUGUUACUCUAUUAUUACUAUGCCUAAAUCGGUACGUUCAUCUUCAUCUUUUUAUUAAGACGAAGGGCCCGAUCGGAUUUAUUAUUAUUUUUAUUGUUAUUAAGCUUGCAGAUCUGAGAUGAAUUUGCUAAACUAUUUUUUUUUUAUCGUUAAUUCAGAUAAUUAACGAUCGCGAGACUGGAAGAUCCAGAGGAUUUGGAUUCGUUACCUUCCGCGAUGAGAAGUCGAUGAGGGACGCGAUCGAAGGCAUGAACGGCCAGAAUCUCGACGGCCGUAACAUCACAGUCAACGAGGCCCAGUCCCGCGGAAGCGGUGGCGGUGGCGGUGGUGGUUACGGAAGCCGCGGCGGUGGCGGAUAUGGAGGUGGUGGACGCCGUGAAAGUGGUGGUGGUGGUGGAUACGGUGGGAGCCGCGGAUACGGAGGUGGCGGUGGUGGAGGAUAUGGUGGCCGCCGUGAAGGUGGUUACAGCCGUGAUGGUGGAUAUGGCGGUGAUGGUGGUUCCCGAUACUCAAGGAGCGGUGCUUCUGAUGGCGGCAGCUGGAGGAAUUAGUGUUGUUUAGGAUAAAUUAGGAGCUAUGUUAU